Populus trichocarpa (black cottonwood) is the source of this 1944-nucleotide long non-coding RNA. RefSeq lists it as uncharacterized. The record is from RefSeq and is a predicted model, not a curated record. Lineage: Eukaryota; Viridiplantae; Streptophyta; Magnoliopsida; Malpighiales; Salicaceae. The transcript has 5 exons.
UAUAGCUUCUAGUGGUUUUGCCUUCAGAGCGGUGAACCCGGGACUCUCGGUCAUGUCCACCAUUUUAUCACCAAUCUUCUGCCACUAGAAACAUUGAAGGAGCGAGCCCAAUGCUAAUCCCACCACUCUCAGGGCCGAGCCUUCUCCAGGACAGCUCCUCCUUCCAUGCCCGAAAGGCAUCAACUUAAACCCAUCUCUAGCCCCCUCUGGGUUGUCAAACCUCUCAGGUCUGAAUUUUGUUGGGUCUGGCCAGAUUUUAGGGUCAUUUUGAAUGGCCCACAUAUUUACAGAGAGCAUCGUGCCACGUGGAAUGCGGAAUCCUCCAACCAGGCAUUCUUCUGAUGACUCAUGAGGUACUAGCAACGGAGCUGGCGGGUACAUCCGUAACGUUUCGUUUAGGAUGCUUCGGAGGUAGGGAAGUUGGGCAAGAUCAGCUUCAUCCAUCAAACGAUCAUGCCCAAUCUGCUCGUCGAUUUCUCUUUUAGCCUUCUCGAGGACUUCGGGAUGGUUAAGCAAAAGUGAAAGUGCCCAUUCCAUUGUAGUAGAUGAAGUGUGUGUUCCUGCAAAUAAGAUCACCUACACACCAAACCAAAAUAUGGUAAUUCCAUAGAUGAUGCAAGCAGUGAAGAUAUCUUAUUCUAGGUGGUGUAACUUGACACGGAAACAAUUUCUAGCAGUGGAGGUAUCUUACUGCUUGUAGAAAUAUCAAAUAAAGAUGAUGCAAACCAAAUCACCAGAGUGAUCUCCCACACCCUAGUCAAUUCAAUACACCUUGGUUGCGUCUAUGACUUGACUAUUCGGAUUCAUAAAGUCUGCAAUUGUGCAUAGCCAGUUUCUUGACAAAAGCAAGAUCCAAAGACAAAAUAUGUCACUUCUUACCCGAAAAGUACUGGCGUCCCAUACUAUUUUACUUAAUUCCAUAUCUAUAUAAUUGGUGAUAACUAAGAUUUCAUCCAUUUUAUAUAGAAGAACAGUGCUGCAUUAUGUUAUCGCAACUCCAUUGAUCAUAAGAAUCAGUAAAUCAAGAAACAUGAUUAAAGUUCUUACCACCACAAGCCCUUUGAUGAUAUCGUCCGUGUAAUACUCAGGUUCAGUUUCUUGCAGGGACAGCAGAACCUGAAUCAAAUUCUUUUUCUUUUCACCACAGCAAUCACCCUCCAGUAUUUUUCUCCGUUGCUCUUCUAUCAAACACUGCAAGAAGCUAUCCCUCUUUAGAUUGCAUUCUAUCAAUCUCUUCUCCAUCUUUUUUGAUUUAAUCCACGGUAUAUAGUCUCCUAUAAUGGUUUUGCCACCUAGCAAGAAGCUUUCAGCAUGAAGUGCACGAAACCUUUUGGCUUCUUCCACAUCAGAAACAUUCUCUCCAUAAUAUCUCUUUCCAGCUAUCAUCCGCAUCACGAUGUUCAGUGUCAGUUCGAAGAAAACUGUCCUCAUAUCUACGAACUGGUUCUGAUUACGGAAGAGAACACAAACCAUUGACUUCACCUCCUCCAGACGUAUGGCAGAAAGCAUUUGGAGGCGGUAUGCAGACAAGACUUCAAUAGAGACGAUCCUCCUGAGGUUUCGCCAGUGGUCGCCAUAGGGAGCCCAAACAAGGCUUGUGCUGUUGUAGGCGAGGUGUUUUGCAAUGAGCAAACGUGGGCGGUUUGCAAAGACAACAUCAUUUUUGGUAAAGCAUUCUUCAGCUAUCGAAGGGGAUGAGACAACAAGUAGUCGACGAGACCCGAGUUGGAGCAAGAUUACGGGGCCAUGUUUAUCGGAGAUUUUUGAUAGUGUCCUGUAAAGUGGCUUCUUCAGUAGGUAGAGGUGGCCAAUGAUUGGUAGUGAAGGGAAUGGACUAGGUGGGAAGUUUCUUAUCUUGUUGAGGAAGUGAGUAGAUAUGAUAUACAAGGCUAAAAACACCGGAAAGUAGAGAAACAAGGUUGCCAUGGAUUUGUUAAUGGCCAC